Molecule: unclassified non-coding RNA, 226 nt
Filed under: uncultured Tomentella
Lineage: Eukaryota; Fungi; Basidiomycota; Agaricomycetes; Thelephorales; Thelephoraceae
Description: sequence contains ITS2
Source: RNAcentral
ACACCUCAACCCUCGUGGUUUGCCACGAUCGGUUUGGACUUUGGAGGUUUUGCUGGCCCCCACCUGUGUGGUCGGCUCCUCUCAAAUGAAUCAGCUUACCAGUGUUUGGUGGCGUCGCAGGUGUGAUAACUAUCUACGCUCGCGGCCGUCUGCCAUCCAACCUUCAGCGAUGAGGGUUCGCUGGAGCUCACAGAUGUCUCUCCUGAGUGAAGACAGCUUUUUGAUC